Molecule: ribosomal RNA, 467 nt
Filed under: uncultured bacterium
Lineage: Bacteria
Description: partial 16S ribosomal RNA
Rfam family: Bacterial small subunit ribosomal RNA
Source: RNAcentral
GACGAACGCUGGCGGCGUGCUUAACACAUGCAAGUCGAACGGAAAGGCCUCUUUCGGGGGGUACUCGAGUGGCGAACGGGUGAGUAACACGUGAGUAACCUGCCCUUUACUUUGGGAUAACUUCAGGAAACUGGGGCUAAUACCGGAUAGGAGCUCCUGCUGCAUGGUGGGGGUUGGAAAGUUUCGGCGGUUGGGGAUGGACUCGCGGCUUAUCAGCUUGUUGGUGGGGUAGUGGCUUACCAAGGCCUUGACGGGUAGCCGGCCUGAGAGGGUGACCGGCCAAAUUGGGACUGAGGUACGGCCCAGACUCCUACGGGAGGCAGCAGUGGGGAAUAUUGCACAAUGGGUGGAAGCCUGAUGCAGCAACGCCGUGUGCGGGAUGACGGCCUUCGGGUUGUAAACCGCUUUCGCUCAUGACGAAGCUUUGUGUGACGGUAGUGGGUAAAGAAGCACCGGCUAACUACGUG